This is a non-coding RNA of Gopherus flavomarginatus (Mexican gopher tortoise), 82 nucleotides long. The record is from the annotation of a RefSeq genome assembly. Lineage: Eukaryota; Metazoa; Chordata; Testudines; Testudinidae.
GCUGUGAUGGCUGAGUGGUUAAGGCGUUGGAGUCAAUAUCCAAUAGGGUCCCCUUGUGCAGGUUCAAAUCCUGCUCGCAGUG